AUCCUUCUGUAUUUCAUAAGGGUGAUGACUGGGGUUUCACGUUCAUGUGUGAGAUGUGCUUCCCUCAAACCUUGUUACAACCUUGGCACAUUACCUGUCUGAUU
RNAcentral lists this small nucleolar RNA (104 nucleotides) under Microcebus murinus (gray mouse lemur). RNAcentral's name for it is "Small nucleolar RNA U13 (ENSMICG00000042914.1)". It matches the Rfam family "Small nucleolar RNA U13". Lineage: Eukaryota; Metazoa; Chordata; Mammalia; Primates; Cheirogaleidae. The record is from Rfam by way of RNAcentral.